RNAcentral lists this long non-coding RNA (1862 nucleotides) under Triticum aestivum (bread wheat). Its description in RNAcentral is "long non-coding RNA (TAES_LNC013059)". The record is from RNAcentral. Lineage: Eukaryota; Viridiplantae; Streptophyta; Magnoliopsida; Poales; Poaceae.
AGCCACCGCCAUCCAUCGCCAUGCAUGCCAAGCCCCAAAGCCUUCUUCCUCCCUCCCUCCCUCCCUCCCUUUCUUUCAACACAGCCCACCAACCCAACAUCGCAAUCCAUUCCUACUACUUUGUAUAUCUGCGCGCCCAUAUAUAAACGCAGCAUCGGCCAUGUACAGCGAAGAUAUUGUCGAGAAGGGCGAGGGCGAGGAGCAGGAGGUCCGCUGCUAAAUCUGGAAGUCGAUCAUUAGCCAUUUAUUUACUACUUACUCGGGAGCUAGGCAGGCCGGGGGUCAAUUACUCCGUCGGUUAUCUCAUCUAUCAGUUUCCGUCUCGAGCUUAAGUUACCAGGGAGGAGGAGGAGGAGGUUCACUUUUCGGAGGAGGCGCUGACCCAUUUCCAUUCUUGGAAACCCGUUACUCCGGCGAGCGAGGCCGGCCGCCGGUGGCCAUUCUUCGAGCGGGCAUCGGUCGAAGGGAUCGAGCAAGGUCGAUCGCACCGUCGGCGCUUGGCUUGGAGUUUCGUACGGGAGGCCGAUCGACCGACCGCGGGUUUCUUUCUUGGCGCGCGCGCGGGGCGGGCGGUCGCUGAGAUGAGCGAUGUCACCGGCAGGUUCGUGCUGGCCGCGGCCGUCGCGGUGGCGUCGCUGGUGAUGGCGGCGGCGGCGCGGCACGACUACGGGGACGCGCUGUCCAAGAGCCUGCUCUACUUCGAGUCGCAGCGGUCGGGCCGGCUGCCGUACAACCAGCGGGUGCGGUGGCGCGGCCACUCGGGGCUCACCGACGGGCUGGAGCAAGGGGUGGACCUCGUGGGAGGCUACUACGACGCCGGCGACCAUGUCAAGUUCGGCCUCCCCAUGGCCUUCACCGUCACCAUGCUCUCCUGGGCCGUCCUCGAGUACGGCGACCAGAUCGCCGCCGCCGGCGAGGGCGCCCACGCGCUGCAGUCCAUCAAGUGGGGCACCGACUACUUCAUCAAGGCGCACACCGCGCCCAACGAGCUCUGGACCCAGGUCAGUCAGUCAUCGAUCGACGCCGCCAUCGCCAUGACCGGCCGGCCGCGCAGAAUGUGAAGUGUAAACACGUACGUACACACGCUGCAUCUUUUCUGACCCGAUCGCGCAUACGUACAGGUCGGCGACGGCGACUCGGACCACUACUGCUGGCAGCGGCCGGAGGACAUGACGACGUCGCGGCGGGCCUACAAGGUGGACGCCGAGCACCCCGGCUCGGAGGUGGCCGCCGAAACCGCCGCCGCCAUGGCCGCCGCGUCCAUCGUGUUCCGGCGAGCCGGCGACGCGCACUACGCGCACCUCCUCCUCCACCACGCGCAGCAGGUACGCUGUCACGUACUACAUACUUGUCACACAAAAUUAAUUAAUCAACGUAAAGCAGAAAAUUCAGACUAGAUUAGCACCAGCUUAAUUUCCCUUUAAGCUUUUGUCAGCGCCCUUUACACAGAAUUCACGAUUAAAAAAUACGACACUCGAUCCACUAGCCGCAGCUGGGUCUGGUACGUGACAACGAGCAGCUCAACGUCCAUCGUACACACACACGCACACGCUUGACGCUUCGGCUAUACCGUAGUAUUUUUUACGUAUAUGUGUCGUCGUAUUUACUUAUACGUACGCGUAUUGCUAACUAAUUUGUACGUACGUAUGUAUAUUAUACGUGCAGCUGUUCGAGUUCGCGGACAAGUACCGGGGGCGGUACGACGCGAGCGUGCGGGUGGUGAAGAGCUACUACCCGUCGGCGAGCGGGUACAACGACGAGCUGCUGUGGGCGGCGCUGUGGCUGCACCGCGCCACCGGCGGCCGCGAGUACCUCGACUACGCCGUCGCCAACGCCGACGACUUCGGCGGCACCGGCUGGGG